AUUGAACGCUGGCGGCAUGCUUUACACAUGCAAGUCGAACGGCAGCGCGGGCUUCGGCCUGGCGGCGAGUGGCGAACGGGUGUGUAAUGCAUCGGAACGUGCCCAGUAGUGGGGGAUAGCCCGGCGAAAGCCGGAUUAUUACCGCAUACGACCUGAGGGUGAAAGCGGGGGACCGAAAGGCCUCGCGCUAUUGAAGCGGCCGUUGUCGGAUUAGCUAGUUGGUGGGGUAAAGGCUUACCAAGGCGACGAUCCGUAGCUGGUCUGAGAGGACGACCAGCCACACUGGGAUGUAGACACGGCCCAGACUCCUACGGGAGGCAGCAGUGGGGAAUUUUGGGCAAUGGGGGCAACCCUGAUCCAGCCAUGCCGCGUGAGGGAAGAAGGCCUUCGGGUUGUAAACCGCUUUUGUUCGGGAAGAAAUCCUCUGGGCUAAUACCCCGGGGGGAUGACGGUACCGGAAGAAUAAGCACCGGCUAACUACGUG
This 484-nucleotide ribosomal RNA is filed under the name uncultured bacterium. Its description in RNAcentral is "partial 16S ribosomal RNA". It matches the Rfam family "Bacterial small subunit ribosomal RNA", at positions 28 to 507 of the family's 1533-position model. The record is from RNAcentral.